UUGUGGCUAUGAUCUCCCAGAAGGGGCUUUUUCUCUUUAAAAAGAACCCGCUGGGCGGUCCAGGAGCAGCAUGGGGAAGAGGGGAGGUGCCAGCGCCAGGAAGAGCAGCGGCUGAUUUCUCUCCUUGGACGAUUCCCCUCAGCUCUGCUCCACUGGUGGCAUGCAGAUACGGGAAAAAAGAGUUCAUGAUCUCAGAACGUUCUGUACACUGUCAAGUCCUCUCCUCCAGUCCCCAGGAAGUCUGAAAGCCUGUUUUCUCUGGGCUACGCUGAGUAGGAGGACCGA
Long non-coding RNA from Neogale vison (American mink), 285 nucleotides. RefSeq lists it as uncharacterized. The transcript has 3 exons. The record is from RefSeq and is a predicted model, not a curated record. NCBI's taxonomy places the organism in Eukaryota, Metazoa, Chordata, Mammalia, Carnivora, Mustelidae.